RNAcentral lists this non-coding RNA (24 nucleotides) under Arabidopsis thaliana (thale cress). Lineage: Eukaryota; Viridiplantae; Streptophyta; Magnoliopsida; Brassicales; Brassicaceae. The record is from RNAcentral.
ACAUUGUGCUCUAAUGGUUGUUGG